GGAAAGGUGCUCGAGUGGUUGAAGAGGCACGCCUGGACAGCGUGUAAACGUAAAAAGCGUUUCAGGGGUUCGAAUCCCCUUCUUUCCGCCA
RNAcentral lists this transfer RNA (91 nucleotides) under Prevotella sp. RNAcentral's name for it is "tRNA-Ser". It matches the Rfam family "tRNA". Rfam says of the family: Transfer RNA (tRNA) molecules are approximately 80 nucleotides in length. Their secondary structure includes four short double-helical elements and three loops (D, anti-codon, and T loops). The record is from RNAcentral. Lineage: Bacteria; Pseudomonadati; Bacteroidota; Bacteroidia; Bacteroidales; Prevotellaceae.